AUGGGGUGGGCCUCCAUGCAGCCUCCUGGCCGACACCCCAGAGCAGUCGGGCCACCCAGGCAGGGCGGGGGUCGUACCAGGCUCUGCUGCCAGGCGGAGGUGUCUGCUGAUGCCGCCGGGCGAGGAAGGGGCCUGGUGGGGAGACAGCCAGGACGGGGGAGGCCCGCAUUCUCCAACGAGGGCACAGAGACGGGCUGCAGGGUGCCUGGCUGUGAGGGCACGACCCGGUCGCCCUGGGGCUGGGGGUACGGGCCUCCCAGGGCCACGGCCAACUCCAGGCACCCUGCUCCCACAGCGCACUGGGCAGCGCCCAUGGAGGGUGGACAAGUGCAGACGCAAGGUGCCCCCAGAACGCACCUGCCCCAUCCCCGUGGCUGGUCACCAGGCUCUGCAGGCCUGCGGGGUGGUGAGCACAGACAGCCAGCCCGGGCCCCACGGGCCCUCCACACGGGCAGGGUGGGCCUCGAUGGACGUAAGGUGUCGUCAGGGAGGGAAGGGUGCAGGCCGGGGAGGAGCAGGGACCCAAACCAGCUGUGUGGCCUUGGGCAAGGCACCUAUUUCUCUGUGCCUCGGGCUGGCGCCACCCUGCCUGUUACUGCAAAGACUGGCAGCCCCCCAGGCUGCGGGCGCAGGGGGGACGCCGAGCCCCCAGUGAGCUCCCCGGGGCUGUUCUGGGGCCCACACACAGGCAGGUCCUGCAGGGGUGGGGAGCAGGGCGGCAGCAGGGCUGGGUGGCGGGGGCUGGGGGUGACCCUCCCAAGGCCCUGCACACUCCCUCCUCGGCUCCUGAGUGUGCGCACAGCCGGGUGUGAGUGCACGAGUCUCCUGCGCCAUGGCCCCGGGUCCCCGCAGACCCCGCAGUGCCACGGAGUGGUGACCCCGGGGACCCAGCUCGGAGCCCCUCUCAGCCAGGCUCUCGGGUCAGAGCUGCCUCCAGGGGGAGUCUGGGGGUGGGGAGGGCCCUUCCUGCCCGCCCCCAGCUCCUGGAGCUUGUGGCCACAUCCCCCCAUCCCUGCGUCCGUCCUCCCACGAUCCCAGGAAGACGCCAGCCGUCGGGUCAGGGCCCACCCUACAGGCCCCACCUUGACCACGCCUGCAAAGACCUUAUUUCCAAAUGAGGUCACACUCACAUGUCCUCGGGGUUGA
RNAcentral lists this long non-coding RNA (1146 nucleotides) under Canis lupus familiaris (dog). RNAcentral's name for it is "lncRNA (ENSCAFG00030012405.1)". Lineage: Eukaryota; Metazoa; Chordata; Mammalia; Carnivora; Canidae. The record is from RNAcentral.